CCUCAGGCUGAUUGUGAGACAAAGUCAGCAAAUUCUAAUUGAGGUGCAUUCUACAAAACACCUGACUACUACUCCUCAAACCGUCAAGUUCUUCAGAAAUAAAGAAGGUUUAAGAAAUUAUUACAGUCAAGAUACAUGGCAACUAAACGUGAUGUGGUAUCCUGUAUGGGAUACAGAAACUGAAAAAGUACAUUAUGUAAAAUCCAAGGAAACCUGAAUCAAGUAUGGAUGUUAAUUAAUAAUAAUAUUCAAUUUUGGUUCAUUAGGUAUGAUAAAUGUAUUACAACAGGGGUCCAAAGUGGCUCCCGCCGGAGGUCGUGGCGCUUGCGAAGGCGAGGUCAUGAGUUCAAGGCUAACCUGAGCAACCUUAUAAGCUCAAACUGAUUGUCAAAAAAAAAAAUGUAUUACAACAAUGAAACAUACUAACCACAGGAUAACUUCCCAAUCCAUACUAAAUGCCCAAUAAUUAUUGUAUAUGAAAACUAUUAUGUUCAUAACUUUACUUUAAAUCUCUAUGUGGUGAUAUUUUCUGGAAAGCAUUUCUUGUCUAUUCAUUUACUCCUCACAAGAAUUCUAUAGUGUAGAUAUUUUUCAUUUACCUUUGGGUAAAAAAGUAAAACAUGAUUUUUUUGCAUCUUGCUUAACAUCACUCAAGUCUUAGGUGGUAGAAAUAGGACUUGAAUUAUAUGAUUACAAAUUCUUUUCUGCAGCAACACAAACCAUGAAAUAUCAACAGCACUGAGAACCUUGAUAGCAGGCAAUAUCUUUGAAUAAUUAAUUCACAUUUCUAAGUGAUAUGUAUAGCAUUAUAUAUUGUAAUGAGUUUUAAAUUAUGUGUUGACAGGUAUCUAAAGAUGAAAAUAGAGGUCAAGUAUUUGGGUUCUGGGAGCAAAUUGCCUAGACUCAAAUCCCACUGUAACACUUUGCAGCUGAAUGACCUGGCCGAAGUUGUCUGUGGUGUGUUUAUUCUGUUCCUUAAAACAUGAUGCUAUGGCAAUAUUUAAAAGGAGCCAAGCCUGCUAACUCAGACAGCAUUUCCAGACCUCCCAUGGAGUGCAUAUUCAUGUACUGGUGCUUUCGUUUCUUUGAAAUAGACUCCCAAAGUGGAAUUUAUGAAACAAAGGGUACAGUCGUUUUUACUGUCAAUGCAAAACACUACAUGCCUCUCUUCCAAUAAUGGUUAGCAGAGGAAACGUACACAUGCAUGGGAUAUAAAAAGGUGACAGUGUUAAAAGUCUGCAACAAUUAAGUUGACUGGAUAAGCUCCAAGGGAAGAGGAAUAAGAACAAAAAAGCAAUUUUAAACAAUUUAAAAAGUCACAGUAAUUGUGAAUUUGCCAAUGAAAAGAAACACAUGUCUCUGUGAAAGUAUUUAAAGAGCAUGUUUUGUCCUCAUUGUAACUAAAGUAUAAUAGUUAUAUGUAGCAAAUGUCUGUGGACUAAGGGAUUUCUCAGAAAUGUUGCUCUAAAAUGUCAGGUUAUGGACAGAGCAAGCUGUGGAACACUCGUUUGUGUCAUUCUCGUUUUUAAAAAACUGUAUAUCAAAUAAUCAAAGAAUUUCAUAAGCCAAAACCAAAAAUAUCCUGGAAAAAGUUUACUAAAAAAUACUCCCCUAAUUAUAAAUAUUUGGGAGACACAACGGAGAGACUUGGAGAAAAGUCUCAUUCUAGAUUUUUGCCCGGCAAGUCUCCUAUUCUUUGUGCAAAGAAGAGUGUGAAGGAGCGUCUAUCAAGCAUGGAAUCUGACAGGGCAACUCUAUUACUCUGGCCUAGAUUUUUAUUAUCUUCUUUCCUUGGUGGGCUCCAGAGUGAACAUAAAUCAUGAAAGGGGCUCAACGAGUUGGUGAGAAAUCAGAUUUUUUCAGCAGUAUUUAUUGCCAUUCCAGUACUAUGGAAAUUGUAUGUGUGUAACAGCAGAUUGAAUAGUUCUGCAGGGGUUAGAAGACAUUGGUAAGUGACAUAUAAUAAAUUUUAUAGGCACUUCCUUCUAUAGAUUUGAGAUUCUCCUUUGAGACUCAUUUAAUUUCUUUCAUAACAUUUUUGCCUUAGUGAACUUGAUAAUUC
Long non-coding RNA from Callithrix jacchus (white-tufted-ear marmoset), 2062 nucleotides. NCBI's taxonomy places the organism in Eukaryota, Metazoa, Chordata, Mammalia, Primates, Cebidae. The record is from Ensembl.